Molecule: long non-coding RNA, 1125 nt
Organism: Coregonus clupeaformis (lake whitefish)
Lineage: Eukaryota; Metazoa; Chordata; Actinopteri; Salmoniformes; Salmonidae
Exons: 4
Source: RefSeq, a predicted model, not a curated record
GAGUACCUUUCACUUUAUUUCCAUCCCUGAAAUAGAACGCCUCUCCGCAGUUGCUAUGACAACGGAGAAACGAUCCACUUGCAUUCCCUCUUGCCUCCCCUCUGGUUCCUGGGAAACAUGUAACACUUUUUCAGUAGUACACCCAAUCCGGAAAGCCCUUUGUCGCUCACUUGUUCGUGUGCACGGAACCAUUCUUUCAGGAACACAACGGGCCACUAGCAGAGUCCUGGAGACAGGAGUGAACACAUUACAGAGGACCCUUGUCUUGAAGAAGCAGGUGGAAGUGGAUUGUCAGCUGGCACAGAAACAGCAGGAAUUCAGAUCACCUGGAGUAUGGGGUAGACUCCCUGGUGAUGCCCAUCAUACGGCGUCAUGAGACCCUGUCCCUCACCCAUCAGGAUCCGGUGGAGCGCCUGGGCCAGCUGGUGGAGGAGCUGGAGCAGGGCCAGCGCAGCCUGGACAGUCUGAAGCAGGAGCACAACACAAACAAGCUGAUGACGAACAGGGAGCUGUCUGAACUGCAUAACCAGUGGGAUAGAGCCAAGGAGAAAAACAAACAGACUAAGAUUAACCUGAUGAUGCACCAAGGCCAGUCCCGAGACUCCAGAAUACAUUCUGGAGAGGGCAGACAUAGAGAAGAGAGCAACACAACUGAUAGACAAGUGCCACAGAGAACAUAGGAUCACUGAAAAACAUUAACAGUAAAACACAACUAAAGAGCACCAGCAAGACCAGUGGGAAGAGUGGACUGUAUAGUUGAGCAAUGCUGAAUAGGCCUUUUACGAGUUUGUGGAGAAACAUUUACACACAUGAAUACAACCAUGCAGAUGUAUUGUACACACACAUGGUAAAGGGAGUGAGUGCAAUAUAAGUUACUUUUAACUUUUCUUUAAGGUUGUUGUAAUAGUGUUAUAAUAUUAUAGUGUGGUGAUAAGUUGCUGAAGGAAAUUGUUGUGGUUGUACCAUGCAGUUGUACAUGCAUUUCUCAUAUAGCCUAAUCAAAGAUUGAUGAUAAAAAAUUGAUAGGAUGAAUUCAAAUGUUCAUUAGUUUGCUUUAUUCAUUUAAAAAUAUUACAAAUGUUCAUCUGACAAAAUGUAUUUGAACUGACCUCUUUGAAAUGAAUA